AUAACGGUCUUUUUCAAGACCACAAACUUCCAAGAAAGAAUCAGU
This is a non-coding RNA of Strongylocentrotus purpuratus (purple sea urchin), 45 nucleotides long. The record is from Rfam. Lineage: Eukaryota; Metazoa; Echinodermata; Echinoidea; Camarodonta; Strongylocentrotidae.